RNAcentral lists this long non-coding RNA (1231 nucleotides) under Carassius auratus (goldfish). RNAcentral describes it as "lncRNA (ENSCARG00000014011.1)". Lineage: Eukaryota; Metazoa; Chordata; Actinopteri; Cypriniformes; Cyprinidae. The record is from RNAcentral.
GGUCAGAGGGAUUCGCUCCACAAACAGAUGGCUCACAGAAUGAAAAUGGUAUGUGUAUACCAGGGUCUUGCUAUUGUAUCUCAUGGAGGUCUUUUCUUACUUUUUAAAUGCUUUACACAAUAAUCAAGAACACAUCUUGUCUUCUUGCAUCAGGGGAAACAGCUCAUGAUGGAUCUCAAAUAGAAUCUCCUGGUGAUGAACAUUAAAGUUUACAUUCAGUUUACAAAAUGUUUUCUAUUAAAUCAUAAUUAUGUCAUUUUUGUCUUGUACAUUCAGAAACCCCUGAGAUAGAAUCUAACGGUGAGUGUCAUUGUGUGUUAAUGCACAUCAAACAAAAUUGUGCACCAUAUUAAUCAGAAGAAUGAGUGAUGUAGUCUUUUUAAUCGGGUUCCUCUCAUAGGCAAUGGACACAAACAGCUUCUGAAUGGAGGAGAAACAGGAUUUACAGGCAUGGAUCAUUUCAUGGCAGGCACAUCUCAGAUACAAGGAACAGGUAUAAAAGCAUGAUUUAAAAUCCUACCGAAAAACCAUUCAUUUCUGAGAUAGAAAAAAGUAUACUUACAGUGUUUUCAGUUUUUACUUUGUGUCACAGGAAUUAACAACAUUUUAAAAGUAUUAAAAUUAAGACUGUAUUUUUGAUCAGACUUCUUAAACAUUACUGAAACCAACCUUUAAUCUAGUGUAUACAUUUAAAAUCAAAAACUUUAUACAUAUUCACUAAAUAAUAAUGUGAGCAUCAGACCGUACUAGGAACUCAAACAUUUAACUGCACAUUUUUAUUGCAGGCAUAACAGAUCAGUCAAGCCAUGACUUCCUCGUUGGCUUGAUGGGUGAGCAUUUCUUUGUUCUCAUUAAUGAGUGGAAGAAAUACUGAAUGUGAUUCUCAGUGUGGACCAGAAUGUCUCCCUCUACAGGUGGAAUAGGAGAGACCUUUGGUCCAGACACCCAAACAGACGGGCUAGGUACGCUUUUAGACCUCUUAGACAGUCCUCCAGACGUUCCACACACAUACCUAGUAACUGACGCUGUCUCAACAGAUCACAUGGGACUCGCAUUUCAGGUGGAUUCGGCAGCCGCUGGCCUGAGUCCAGGGCACCCGUCCAGUGGCGGUCCGGUUCUAGAAGCUCCUCCAGGUAAUGGCUGCUGGCUGCCGCUCUGCGCUCCUUUAGGUCCUGUAAAUUUAGAGUGCUUUUACCCCAGUAGCCGUGGGAUUAUCCCAGCACACGUCUAA